RNAcentral lists this ribosomal RNA (155 nucleotides) under Agroathelia rolfsii. RNAcentral's name for it is "Athelia rolfsii 5.8S ribosomal RNA". It matches the Rfam family "5.8S ribosomal RNA". Rfam says of the family: 5.8S ribosomal RNA (5.8S rRNA) is a component of the large subunit of the eukaryotic ribosome. The record is from RNAcentral. Lineage: Eukaryota; Fungi; Basidiomycota; Agaricomycetes; Amylocorticiales; Amylocorticiaceae.
CAACUUUCACCAACGGAUUUCUGGGUUCUUGCAUGGAGGAAGAAGGCAGGGAAAUGCGAUAAGUAAUGUGAAUUGCGGAAUCCAGUGAAUCAUGGAAUCUUUGAACGCACCUUGCGCCCUUUGGUUAUUCCGAGGGGCAUGCCUGUUGGAGAGUC